CCUACGGGAGGCAGCAGUGGGGAAUAUUGCACAAUGGGGGAAACCCUGAUGCAGCGACGCCGCGUGAGUGAAGAAGUAUUUCGGUAUGUACAGCUCUAUCAGCAGGGAAGAUAAUGACGGUACCUGACUAAGAAGCCCCGGCUAACUACGUGCCAGCAGCCUCCGUAAUAAGUAGGGGGCAAGCGUUAUCCGGAUUUACUGGGUGUAAAGGGAGCGUAGACGGUUAUGUAAGUCUGGAGUGAAAGCCCGGGGCCCAACCCCGGGACUGCUUUGGAAACUGUGUAACUGGAGUACAGGAGGGGCAGGCGGAAUUCCUGGUGUAGCGGUUAAAUGCGUAGAUAUCAGGAGGAACACCGGCGGCGAAGGCGGCCUGCUGGACUGAAACUGACGUUGAGGCUCGAAAGCGUGGGGAGCAAACAGGAUUAGAUACCCGAGUAGUC
RNAcentral lists this ribosomal RNA (440 nucleotides) under uncultured bacterium. Its description in RNAcentral is "partial 16S ribosomal RNA". It matches the Rfam family "Bacterial small subunit ribosomal RNA", at positions 338 to 795 of the family's 1533-position model. The record is from RNAcentral.